AUUGAACGCUGGCGGCAGGCUUAACACAUGCAAGUCGAACGGUAACAUAAAGAAGCUUGCUUCUUUGAUGACGAGUGGCGGACGGGUGAGUAAUGCUUGGGAAUCUAGCUUAUGGAGGGGGAUAACUACGGGAAACUGUAGCUAAUACCGCGUAGAAUCGAGAGAUGAAAGUGUGGGACCUUCGGGCCACAUGCCAUAGGAUGAGCCCAAGUGGGAUUAGGUAGUUGGUGAGGUAAAGGCUCACCAAGCCGACGAUCUCUAGCUGGUCUGAGAGGAUGACCAGCCACACUGGGACUGAGACACGGCCCAGACUCCUACGGGAGGCAGCAGUGGGGAAUUAAUGCGCAAAGGGG
Molecule: ribosomal RNA, 353 nt
Filed under: Terrahaemophilus aromaticivorans
Lineage: Bacteria; Pseudomonadati; Pseudomonadota; Gammaproteobacteria; Pasteurellales; Pasteurellaceae
Description: bacterial SSU rRNA
Rfam family: Bacterial small subunit ribosomal RNA
Source: RNAcentral